Molecule: ribosomal RNA, 494 nt
Filed under: uncultured bacterium
Lineage: Bacteria
Description: partial 16S ribosomal RNA
Rfam family: Bacterial small subunit ribosomal RNA
Source: RNAcentral
GACGAACGCUGGCGGCGCGCUUAACACAUGCAAGUCGAACGGAAAGGCCUGCUUUCCCUUGUGGAUUGCGGGUACUCGAGUGGCGAACGGGUGAGUAACACGUGAGUGAUCUGCCCCCAACUUGGGUAUAAGCCUGGGAAACUGGGUCUAAUUCCCGAUAGGAUUGCAGGGUGGUGCCUGUGGUGGAAAACGAUUUUCUAGUGGUUGGGGAUGAGCUCGCGGCCUAUCAGCUUGUUGGUGGGGUAAUGGCCUACCAAGGCGGCGACGGGUAGCCGGCCUGAGAGGGUGGACGGCCACAUUGGGACUGAGAUACGGCCCAGACGCCUACGGGAGGCAGCAGUGGGGAAUAUUGCACAAUGGGCGGAAGCCUGAUGCAGCGACGCCGCGUGGGGGAUGACGGCCUUCGGGUUGUAAACUCCUUUCGACCGCGAGGAAGCCACCUGGUUGGAAGGGUGGUGACGGUAGUGGUAGAAGAAGCACCGGCUAACUACGUG